Molecule: ribosomal RNA, 332 nt
Filed under: uncultured eukaryote
Lineage: Eukaryota
Description: partial 18S ribosomal RNA
Rfam family: Eukaryotic small subunit ribosomal RNA
Source: RNAcentral
CCCUUAGAUGUCCGGGGCUGCACGCGCGCUACACUGAAUGAAUCAGCGUGCUAGAAAACCUUGUUUGACAUGGCUAGGUAACCCAUUGAAAAUCAUUCGUGAUUGGGAUCGGGACUUGCAAAUGUGUCCCUUGAACGAGGAAUUCCCAGUAAGUGCGGGUCAUCAGCUCGCGUUGAUUACGUCCCUGCCCUUUGUACACACCGCCCGUCGCUACUACCGAUUGAAUGGUUUAGUGAGGACUCCUGAUUGGCGCCGCCGCCCCGGCAACGGAGCAGUGGACUGCCGAAAAGUUGUUCAAACUUGAUCAUUUAGAGGAAGUAAAAGUCGUAACA